GAAAGCCGAGGUCUUUGGGAGGAAAGGCCUUGUCCUUUCAGGCUUCCAAGACAACAGCUAAGGUUGGCCUUUGGUUGGAGACAAGUCUCUAGGCCAGACACUGGAGUUUCAGCAUUGAGACCAAGAGGUAGGCCAAGAUCGGGAUGUAUGGAAGGCCCGUUGCUGGUAGGAAGGCACAGCUUCUCUAGGGGACCCCAGGAACUCCUGUAACUGGCUCUCCCAUUGGGAUGAACCCCAUUUGUGGGCUCAUAAAGCGGCCUCCUAACUCCACCCAGUCCCCGAGCCUGAGGACAUGAGCAGUGGUCUAAAGUCUCACCUAGUCCCAUUUUACAGACUAAUUUGAUUGUCCGGCCCUAGAAUUCUAUAGAAACAACAAUAAUGAAAAGUUGAAAUUCCUUAGAAUAUGCAGAGGGAGGGGAUGACUCACACGGUGCUAAACACAUUUUAUUAAAAAUAUAUAUUGUUAAAUUAAGUCUGCUGUCUGGACAAUGAUGUUCUGUUUUGUUUUCUUGUAGUGGAGUUUAAAAGAGACUAUUAUUUUACUCUGAUAUAUUAUUAUUAAAAAGGCAUUUUAACUUUGUACUUGAAAACUAAGUGAACGAUUUCACGUGUUUUAGCUGAGGCAUCGAAGUAUCGGGUGCUUACUUGUGGGAAAUCAUGUAUUCAUACUACAAAAUAAACUCCGUGGCUGGUUUGGUAAUAACUUUUACUGUUACAGACGAUUUCGCUUUGACCCCGGUGGCAGAGCACUUUUACUCCACAUUCCACGCAGCUAAGUGCAGGACCUUCCAGAACCUUCCCCUAGUCCCCCUCGGUCCUCUUUCCGUUCCUCUUCCUAUCUCUCUCUUUUCCUAUUUUUUCUUUUUAAAUUGUCGUUUGUUUUCCCUGGUCCCAGCUUCCUUCUACCACUGUAUUUUUUUGUUAGGGUUGCUUCUCUAUUUAUUGACAGUAAUACUGUACAUUUCACAGUCUGGUUCUGGGGCAGCCAGGAGGGGUGUGGGGGGCUGCGCACAGCUUGCCGCACCAUCCGGUGUCCCGUUGUAUCUCUGUGUACGUGAUGCUUGUGACAUAGCUGUUGAAGAAAUAAUUAAAAAGGUCAAUGCGUACAGCAGGUGUAGACAGUCCGUCAGUUCCGCUUUCAUCACUUUUCUUUUUCUUUUUUUUUUUUUUUUUUUUGUGCCCAGAAGAAUAUAAUAAAGCUCCUUUCUAAUGUACUUGUGCUGGAGAACACUUGAAUAAAUGGACUGUUUUUGUGCAAAAAGAAAAAUGGAAAACGAAAAGCACCGUCAUAAUGUCCUUUUGUCCUGCGACUCCUUUCCCCUGAUGUGACAGCUCGCGGUCCUCCAGUGGGCUGAAGUGGGUGUGCAUAAUAUCUGGGGGGCGUCUGGGGAAUGGAUUUCUAACGCAGCUCUCGAGUGGGUGUUAACUAGGGGCUGGGACCCAAGGGCAGAGGGAGUUUGGCUCAAGAUCAAAGAGUCGGACAAAGAUGAAGUUGUCUGGUUGACUUCCAGACACAGCAGAUGUCUUGAGACCAGAACAGGAAGCAGAUCAGCAUCCUGGUUAGGUGGCAGGAGAACCAGUGGGGACUUACCGAUGCCAGGCUCAGAAGGAAGAAGUGAGGAAAGGAGGGAGACAGCUGGGCCCUGGGGGAACCCUAGAAGAACCUCGGGUUUAAAGGCAAUCUUUGCCAACACGUGACAGGUAACCCAAGGGCUGGGGCCAGUGGCCAACAGGCUACUGCUGGUCUGAGUGUAGGCUCUCUGGCAGGGCCUUAUGGCCUGAGGUGUUAUUGCCCAUGGUGUCUCUGUCUCACCUUUCUAGAAGGUCAGUCUGAAUGCAGAGUCUGUCUGUCCCCCAUAUCUCCGGGAGUAGCCAGUAGGCUUGGCCUGGGUUUCCACUCCUAAGGAUUGUUCAGGCUGUCUCCUCCCCCAGGCUUUUGGGCGGGUUUGGGAUAGCAGACACACUGUGUGGGGAUCCUUGAGCAGAUGGGGAAAGCUCGGCUAGACAGGUUUUCUCAUGGGCACUUUUUCUUGCUUUUUUCCCUUUGACAAGGUUGUAAAUGUAUAUUUGGCUUUUACUCUACUUCUUUUCUCGAUGUUUUUCAAUGUUGAUGUGGAAUCUUACUUUCAAAUGGCUGCAUGGUAUUUUCUUGUUGAAUGUUUGUUUAUAUAUAUUUUAUUUUCGCUAUAAAUAGAGCUUCAAUAAACAUCUUUAUGUUUUGGCUUCCCCCUU
Molecule: long non-coding RNA, 2232 nt
Filed under: Rattus norvegicus (Norway rat)
Lineage: Eukaryota; Metazoa; Chordata; Mammalia; Rodentia; Muridae
Description: long non-coding RNA NONRATT024116
Source: RNAcentral